GAUGAACGCUAGCUACAGGCUUAACACAUGCAAGUCGAGGGGUAACGAGAGGAAAGCUUGCUUUCCUUGUCGACGACCGGCGCACGGGUGAGUAACGCGUAUCCAACCUGCCCCCAACUAGGGAAUAACCUUGCGAAAGUAAGACUAAUACCCUAUAAUUUCCUCAGAUGUCAUCUGACGAGGAAUAAAGAUUUAUCGGUUGUGGAUGGGGAUGCGUCUGAUUAGCUUGUUGGCGGGGUAACGGCCCACCAAGGCAACGAUCAGUAGGGGUUCUGAGAGGAAGGGCCCCCACAUUGGAACUGAGACACGGUCCGAACUCCUACGGGAGGCAGCAGUGAGGAAUAUUGGUCAAUGGGCGGAAGCCUGAACCAGCCAAGUAGCGUGCAGGAUGACGGCCCUAUGGGUUGUAAACUGCUUUUAUACAGGAAUAAAGUUAGCCACGUGUGGUUAUUUGUAGGUACUGUAUGAAUAAGGACCGGCUAAUUCCGUGCCAGCAGCCGCGGUAA
Molecule: ribosomal RNA, 506 nt
Filed under: uncultured bacterium
Lineage: Bacteria
Description: partial 16S ribosomal RNA
Rfam family: Bacterial small subunit ribosomal RNA
Source: RNAcentral